GUGAUCACUAGGCGUUAACGGGAGGUGGUAUAUGACUAUAUCAUGGUUUGGCAAGAGCCUGUGUAAGUCUAUGCCUCCUGCCUCAUGGUUAGCAGUUAGAAGCCCCGUACCCGCAACAUGAAUUGAUGUGAACAAUUUUGCUGGAAAUGAACAAAGACAGCGAGUCAGCUCACUGUCACGUCCCACUUGCACAUGUGACGCUCAGUGCCAUGCGCCUCCACCAUGCAUUAACGAGAUGUACCGCUGCGUCGUUACACCGUGAAGGCUUGUCGAUUGACCUACAUAUGACAGGCGCCCUGCACUCGAGAGGUUUGACUUCAUUACGGAUACAAUAAGUGAAAGAAAAGGAUGGAAGAGUUUGACUUCCCCCCAGUGCCAUCAUCUCCACCCAGCAGUCUAAAUCUUCCACCUUCCGAUGAGCCUGACUUAGAGUGGUGUUUGCGAAGAACGCAUGAUGUUGCUUUAAUAUAUGCGGAGGACGACCAGGAGGAAGCUUUUAACAUAUUGACCGAAAUGACUGAGGAAACAAACCUUGAUGUCCGUCUGCAGACAGACGAGUGUUUUAGCGGAAGUCUUGUUGAGAAACCUGGGAGAAUUGCCUCACAAUGCUGGCUUGUGUUAGUAGUUCAAACACAUAAUACAACCAACGACAUGGUAGCAAAAUUCACUAAAGACGAACUAAUUGUGAAAAUUCGUAUCACAGAGGCCAAGGAUUAUAUUCGCCCCCUUUGCACUGAAAAAGGACUUCCUAACUUAUCAGGUCUGGCAUCUAUUGAAUCAUUACUUUGGGAUCCAUCAGCCAAAACGAGAACGAAGAGAAAGAUUGAGGACUUUAUUAUAUGGCAAAAGGAACAAGAUGUAACAUGGCGCAUCGAAAAUUUGAAACUUGAAGCUCCGGUGAAACUCUGUGACCCGAAUGACGGGAAAACCAAACGCCUCUUUUCCGAUUUACAGGUUUAUGACAUGAGUGGCGAUAAAAAAGGGCUCCUGUUCAUCAUUAACAACUACGAAUUUACAGAUUCAAAAAAAUAUCCCAGCAGAGAUAGCAGUUGUAAAGACGCAGAGUCUCUGAAAACAUUGUUUGAGAAGUUUGGAUUUAAAGUUGAAACGGAGAACAAUCUGACAGCUCAGGGCAUAAUGGACACAUUUGUGCAACAAGUCGAAGCAUUUGAACAGAGUGGCUAUCGCUGCUUCGCUACUGUCAUUUUAUCACAUGGCAUAAAAGGUGGCGUAGUCGGCACAGAUGGCGACUCUGUGUCUAUAGAAAAAAUCAAGAAUAUAUUUUUGGAUGAACACUUGAUACUUCACAAGGACAAACCGAAGCUGUUCUUUAUUCAAGCUUGUCAGGAAGGCAUGUCCGGCUUUGCACGCGGUGACUACUGGCAAACAAUCCAAAUUACACCCAGGAGCGCACUUUUACUGGACCUCAGCAACCGUGCCUGGUUACGGGGCACUGAGGGAUGAAGAAGAUGGAUCGUAUUUCAUUUCAAGUCUUGUGAAUGUAUUCACAAAGUAUGCCCAUCAAUACGAUUUGGACAACAUGAUGUCUAAAGUUGCAUUCGACGUUGAGCGCCUGACAUCAAGGGAUCACAGUCCUCAGAUCAUCGAGAGAAAAUCAACCUUACUAAAGCAGCUGUUCUUCUUUCCAGGGAUUUAGGGACAUAUCUGAAAUCAAGAAAUGUAGGUAAUUGAACAUUAGGACAUAAAGCUUUACUUUUCAUGAAUUUAACCACACAUAUUAAGAUUGUCAUUUGAUACAGGCGAUCUUUUAUUUAAGAUAAGCCCAUAAUCAGCAAUAAUAGCGAAAAAAGGGAAAUGUGUUGAAAGCAGAAAAAUCAUCAAUUUCAUAUAUUGACUUCAAAUCAAUUGUGACUAUAUGGGGAUCGGGAGCCCGGUCUUCUGGGUGACGAGGUAAAGCUUUAACCAAUCUGUUCUACUAGGAAGUGUCUUGUCAUUUGAUAUCACAUAUGUCAACAAGCGUUGACAACAGAAGCAAGCUCUCAGGGUUGCCAACGUAGUUUAAAUGCUUCAUUCUUUGAGAGUUGCGGUAUUUGAUAUCCAAUUCGACUUUUCGACAAUUGGGUCAAAUGGGACCAACCAUUUGAUAUUCUGGAGGAGGCCUAGGAUUGUGUGUGGAGAGAAGAUAUUGUUUCAGGAACAGCUGCAAAAAUAGGUAUUUUUUAACUGAGAGGCUAAAUUAAUUUUGGAAAAAGAACCACAUGGAAAAAAAUAUUUUCUGUGACUGACUGUAUUAUUUUAAACAUUCCAAAGCACACCUAUUUAUUUCAAGCCUUUUCUGAGACAAUAUUUAAAACAUGCAGGAAACACAACUAUCAAAUGGUCGGUCUCUUAGUGUAUUAUUGUCCAUUAUCAUUCCGAGUACAUACUUUUGAAAUCAAUUAUUAUAUUUCAAGAGUUCAUCAGUUGACGCAUACUGUCAUUUCUUAGUGAAGCGUCGAGUUUUUCAAGCGUAAAAUAGACGGAAAUUUCGUAUUUCUGGCGUGCCUUGCUAUAGUAUCCGUCGUGCGCAGUGCAGCGAGAUUUGCUGAUAGGUCAGUUUUAGGAUAUGUAACAUGUUAAUGGAAUUCAGACACGCGCCAAGAAGUCAAAUCAAACAAUGUUAGCAAGCUUAUUGAGACAGCAUAUCCCUCCGCUAUGCACAGUUACCUCUAUGAGAUAAUGGGUAGUGUUUUAUUUUGUAACAGUAACUAACUUUUCAAUGUGCAAUUUGCAAGAUAUCCGUUUUUUUCCAUAGGACGAGAGGUCGGUCACAUGACGUUUUUCACGUGACUGUAUUCUUGAACUUAGCGUCUUAGCAUUCUCUGGGAUAAGUCAGAAAGUUUGAUUUGCAUGCCCGUUCAAGGAUACACUUGUUACAACUCAUCCCU
RNAcentral lists this unclassified non-coding RNA (2888 nucleotides) under Haliotis rufescens (red abalone). Its description in RNAcentral is "caspase-3-like, transcript variant X2". The record is from RNAcentral. Lineage: Eukaryota; Metazoa; Mollusca; Gastropoda; Lepetellida; Haliotidae.